This 1343-nucleotide ribosomal RNA is filed under the name uncultured bacterium. Its description in RNAcentral is "16S ribosomal RNA". It matches the Rfam family "Bacterial small subunit ribosomal RNA", at positions 28 to 1378 of the family's 1533-position model. The record is from RNAcentral.
GACGAACGCUGGCGGCGUGCUUAACACAUGCAAGUCGAACGGAAAGGCCCUGCUUUUGUGGGGUGCUCGAGUGGCGAGCGGGUGAGUAACACGUGAGUAACCUGCCCUUGACUUUGGGAUAACUUCAGGAAACUGGGGCUAAUACCGGAUAGGAGCUCCUGCUGCAUGGUGGGGGUUGGAAAGUUUCGGCGGUUGGGGAUGGACUCGCGGCUUAUCAGCUUGUUGGUGGGGUAGUGGCUUACCAAGGCUUUGACGGGUAGCCGGCCUGAGAGGGUGACCGGCCACAUUGGGACUGAGAUACGGCCCAGACUCCUACGGGAGGCAGCAGUGGGGAAUAUUGCACAAUGGGCGGAAGCCUGAUGCAGCAACGCCGCGUGCGGGAUGACGGCUUUCGGGUUGUAAACCGCUUUCGCCUGUGACGAAGCGUGAGUGACGGUAAUGGGUAAAGAAGCACCGGCUAACUACGUGCCAGCAGCCGCGGUGAUACGUAGGGUGCGAGCGUUGUCCGGAUUUAUUGGGCGUAAAGGGCUCGUAGGUGGUUGAUCGCGUCGGAAGUGUAAUCUUGGGGCUUAACCCUGAGCGUGCUUUCGAUACGGGUUGACUUGAGGAAGGUAGGGGAGAAUGGAAUUCCUGGUGGAGCGGUGGAAUGCGCAGAUAUCAGGAGGAACACCAGUGGCGAAGGCGGUUCUCUGGGCCUUUCCUGACGCUGAGGAGCGAAAGCGUGGGGAGCGAACAGGCUUAGAUACCCUGGUAGUCCACGCUGUAAACGGUGGGUACUAGGUGUGGGGUCCAUUCCACGGGUUCCGUGCCGUAGCUAACGCUUUAAGUACCCCGCCUGGGGAGUACGGCCGCAAGGCUAAAACUCAAAGGAAUUGACGGGGCCCCGCACAAGCGGCGGAGCAUGCGGAUUAAUUCGAUGCAACGCGUAGAACCUUACCUGGGUUUGACAUGGAUCGGGAGUGCUCAGAGAUGGGUGUGCCUCUUUUGGGGUCGGUUCACAGGUGGUGCAUGGCUGUCGUCAGCUCGUGUCGUGAGAUGUUGGGUUAAGUCCCGCAACGAGCGCAACCCUUGUUCACUGUUGCCAGCACGUUAUGGUGGGGACUCAGUGGAGACCGCCGGGGUCAACUCGGAGGAAGGUGGGGAUGACGUCAAGUCAUCAUGCCCCUUAUGUCCAGGGCUUCACGCAUGCUACAAUGGCUGGUACAGAGAGUGGCGAGCCUGUGAGGGUGAGCGAAUCUCGGAAAGCCGGUCUCAGUUCGGAUUGGGGUCUGCAACUCGACCUCAUGAAGUCGGAGUCGCUAGUAAUCGCAGAUCAGCAACGCUGCGGUGAAUACGUUCCCGGG